RNAcentral lists this ribosomal RNA (253 nucleotides) under uncultured bacterium. Its description in RNAcentral is "partial 16S ribosomal RNA". It matches the Rfam family "Bacterial small subunit ribosomal RNA", at positions 524 to 776 of the family's 1533-position model. The record is from RNAcentral.
GACAGAGGGUGCAAACGUUGCUCGGAAUCACUGGGCGUAAAGGGCGUGUAGGCGGGAAUGUAAGUCGGGCGUGAAAGCCCCAGGCUCAACCUGGGAACUGCACUCGAAACUGCGUUUCUUGAGUAUCGGAGAGGAAAGCGGAAUACCUGGUGUAGAGGUGAAAUUCGUAGAUAUCAGGUGGAACACCAGUGGCGAAGGCGGCUUUCUGGACGAUUACUGACGCUGAGACGCGAAAGCGUGGGAAGCAAACAGG